RNAcentral lists this transfer RNA (66 nucleotides) under Drosophila austrosaltans. RNAcentral's name for it is "tRNA-Phe". Lineage: Eukaryota; Metazoa; Arthropoda; Insecta; Diptera; Drosophilidae. The record is from RNAcentral.
UAUUCAAAGAUUAAUUAAUCUCCUUAACAUCUUCAGUGUCACACUCUAAUUAUAAGCUAUUUGAAU